GGGGCAGGAGACUGCAGCGGAGCUGCCGCCGCUGCAGCAUCAGACACUGUCUAGCGCGCGGUCCCGGGAGAGCCCAGGUGUCCAAAAAAACCCAAGACCCCACAAAAAAGCAAGCGAGGACUAGGCUCCCAAGGAGAAGGUGCAGCCCGCCUGUCAUUUUUCUGCUUGAAAGGAGACAACCCCUCAAUCCUCCGGCCCUCUUUGCAAAAUCCUGACUCAUUAUAGAAAAAAGAUCACACUGCCAGGCGCCCAGAAACAUUUCUUCAUCAUGGUCACGCCACAAGCUAAACAAGAGGCCACAUCAAGGGGGGGGGCAGGGGGAGAAGGAGAGAGAGAGAGAGAAAAAAAUCCAUAAAGAUUAAAAGCAAAAACAAAAAAACAAAACAAAAAAAAAAACAAAACAAAAAAAUCCUCUUCCGUUGAAACAGAAAAAGAAAAGUGCCGGAGUCAAAUCAGCAGCCCGGAGACAACUACAGAAGAUCCACGCAUUGUUGCCACAGACACCUCUCCCCUCUCCAUGCUCAUUUCUGCAACAUUGUUACAAAGAGGCAGCGCUGCCUGGAGUUGGGGAUCGCCGGCACCCGGCUUCGCAACUCCGCCGGGCUCCUCGGCAGGGAGCCCUGGGGGCGCGGGUCCUUGCACAGGACGGGGGCUGAGCCCAGGAGCCUCUCAAAAGGCUUUUUUUUUCCUAGAAACUACCUCCAAAUAUAGUAACAGGGAAGGGGCAUUCCUAGAAAUUCAGGAGACGUCAGAAAGGGAAGACUUGUGAAAUUCAGCCUCACUUCCUGCAGAGGGCUCCUAGCAUAGAAAAAAAAAUCAAGUGAGCAAUAAAGUGCUUUUCAUGCCUCUCUGAUCAGAUAAUAGUUAAAAAAAGAAGAAUGGCAAAGCACUUAACUCACAUUGCUCAGAUAAGAUCUAGGAGUGUCAUAUGGAGGAAAGCUAAUCAGUAACCCCCUUUCUUCAUUUUCUACUAAUGUUUAUAGAUGUCUGCCUCCUGUGUUUACUUUUUUUCCCUGUCUGUGUCCUCACAGCAGACACAUGCACAAAGCAAAUACAAGGAAUACACAAAUUACACACACACACACACACACACACACACACACACACACACACACACACACACACACACACACACACGGCAAUAAUAAUGCUUGCUUACAUCACAGGGGUAUUCUAAGCUUAGCAAAUGUUUACGCAAUAUUUUCUACAUGAUCUGUGGAUGCCAUCUUGCAGACUUCAGUUGCAUUAAUGCAUCUUGCAAACUUUAGUCACAUUUAAACUGCUGAUAAACGUAUGCAAAAUUGUUACUGCAAUUGUUAUUGCUCAGGUGAAUAGGAAUGUGCAUGAUCAGCCUCUGUUUAGGGCCUCAGUCCUGUGAAAGGCUGUCACUGUCACUUGCCAAAGAUUAACAGAAGUUGAAGGUGCUUAGCAACUCACAAAAUAGGUCAUAAAUGCCCUAUAUAAAGCAAUUUGAACAACACUCCUGUGACAUAGAAUCAACUAUUACUGUUUUUUCCUCAUAAAUCUUUAUGUUUACCUUGUAUAUGCUUUACAUCUAUCUGAUGUUCCAACCCAGUCCUUCAGCAUUUCUGAACUCGUGAAUAGUCCCAAUGAAGCACUAAAAAUACUUUAUUUAACUCAUAGAAAUGUAGAAAUGUUGCAUGACUUAAUGUUUGUAAAGGGUUCUAAGAUUCCCAGAAGGAACUAUAGAUGUGAAAGUGCUAUUAUUUAUUGAUAGCAAUGGAUUCCUAAUUUAGAAAAACUAUCCAGCAAAAAGCAAUGACUACUGUAGAAACCAUCAUGAAUAGCUUUUGGCAAAAGGGUUUAAACAUGUUUAACUUUUGUUGGUUAAUUGGAUUUUCAUAAUUAACCCCCUAUUGAGUAGGUGAAAUUCUUGCUUUUGUUCUUCACAUUUUCAAUACAAUUUUUAAAAACCUUCCUGUCGCCACGUCCCCAGCAUCAAGUACAACGAAGAUGCUGGUGUUUGGCUCUAUGCUCUCACUUUGUUUUUAGUAGUUUAUAAAAUAUUGCUAUUAAUCACUGAAGUAUUGAAAGAUGCAUAGUAGUAUGCACAAAGUCUCUCUGACGUUUCCUUUAAAGUGUCCUCUAACAUUUACCUGUUACCUCUUUACUGAAAAAGCAAUGGCAUAAAGAUACAGAGCUAACUGUUGAACAUUUAUACAUUUUCAUUAGUAAUUAUACCUGUUUAGAAGUGGAUUAAAAGAACACUUUCUAAAUAAUCUUUUUGGAAUUUAAAACAACGCUUUAGAUAAUUACAAAAGGUAUUUCUGAGAUGGCAGUUUGUUGCAACAUAGUUUUGCCACUCAAAUUAAUACCCUCCAUAUGAGGAUGACAAGCUGAAGUUCAGAAUCUUUUGAUCAUUAUAAAAUGUAUUUGCUGUCCUCUGUUGGUCAUAUUGGUUGUCACAUGUAAAAUUAAAUUAGCUAGGAAAUAAAGCUCAGUCCUAUAAA
This is a long non-coding RNA of Alligator mississippiensis (American alligator), 2471 nucleotides long. RefSeq lists it as uncharacterized. The record is from RefSeq and is a predicted model, not a curated record. The transcript is spliced from 2 exons. Lineage: Eukaryota; Metazoa; Chordata; Crocodylia; Alligatoridae.